CCGGCCUUUCAGAGGCGCGGGGCCGUGAGAUGCGGGGUGGGGCUUGCGCCCUCCCUGGAAUCGGGGCUGGGAUCCCGACUGCGGCCUUUGGCCGUGCCGCCCCGCUGCCUGGCUGCUGAGAGUUGCUCCUGCCGCUGGGGGGGAAACCGAGCUCUGUGGCUCCAGGGGUGUUGUCCACCCGCCUGUAAUCAGGGUCUGGGUGCGUGAGCGUUUGUGCUCUGCUGGCAGCCUGUGUGGGGUGACCGCCCCGCUAGCGGGGUGUGGGUCGAGGUGCCCCGGACUGGGAGAGAAGGAGCCUCCCUCGGCCGUAGGGAUGGGGGCUGCCCUGUAAGUCAGGGAGCAUCUGUGUCCCGGAGUCCCAGGCCCUUUUCGAUGGCGGCAGUGGCCGGGGGUCCCCUGUAAGCAGGGAAGCUGACUCUUUGGCUGCUGCUUUUUGUGUGCCCAGCCCCAUUUGCCCAGUCUGCCCGCCUCUGUGAUCCCCCGCAGCACUGGCUGGAAGUCCGCUGCGUGUCAGUGAGGAGCUGCUGCAGAAGGAAGAAGAAGAAGCAGCGGCGUGGGGACCUGGGAGGCAGGAGCAAGCAAGAAGAGGAAGCGGAAGCGUGCAGAUGUGGGGGGGAAGGAGAGAGGCUCCCUGGGCAAAGCACCUGUCCCGUUAGCAGGGGCACAGUCACGUUUGAGUUGAGAGCUGCCGGCGCCUUUGGUGACCAGGCUGGCGUUGUGCUGGGCGACCUCCCCGUAAGCGGGGCUCGGGUCUUUGCUGUAGUUGGCCUUUUGCCUUGCUGCUCCUUUGGCUGCCUGGGGAGCGUGGCCCCCUGUAACGGAGGGCAAGAGCCACCUCUCCGCACCUGAGUGGGAAAUGGAGCUCGCUGGACCCCAAGGCCACCCUGUAAGCAGGGUAGUGCCGUUUCCCUGCCCCUCUUCCUCCCCCGGCCCCUCGGCAUCGUUGCCUGAUGGUGGCUUGUCAAUGCGACGGCCCCGUACUCGGGGUGUGUGUCCCAAGCUUUGGAGCCCUCUGUCCCUGAG
Molecule: long non-coding RNA, 1023 nt
Filed under: Gallus gallus (chicken)
Lineage: Eukaryota; Metazoa; Chordata; Aves; Galliformes; Phasianidae
Description: lncRNA (ENSGALG00010022977.1)
Source: RNAcentral